CUACGUAGGGGGCGAGCGUUGUCCGGAAUUACUGGGCGUAAAGGGUGCGUAGGUGGCACUUUAAGUUGGAUGUGAAAUCCCCGUGCUUAACAUGGGAGCUGCAUCCAAUACUGGAGAGCUAGAGUGCAGGAGAGGUAAGCGGAAUUCCUAGUGUAGCGGUGAAAUGCGUAGAUAUUAGGAGGAACACCAGUGGCGAAGGCGGCUUACUGGACUGUAACUGACACUGAGGCACGAAAGCGUGGGGAGCAAACAGGAUUAGAUACCCUGGUAGUCCACGCUGUAAACGAUGAAUACUAGGUGUAGGGGGUGUCAACUCCCUCUGUGCCGCAGCAAACGCAAUAAGUAUUCCGCCUGGGGAGUACGGCCGCAAGGUUGAAACUCAAAUGAAUCGACGGGG
RNAcentral lists this ribosomal RNA (397 nucleotides) under uncultured bacterium. RNAcentral describes it as "partial 16S ribosomal RNA". It matches the Rfam family "Bacterial small subunit ribosomal RNA", at positions 523 to 918 of the family's 1533-position model. The record is from RNAcentral.